GUUCAUUUUUUAAAAUUUUGAGGACUUAUCUCCUAAAAUCCUCCUAGUGUCGCCCCCCUUUCCCCCAUUUUCCCACUUUUCUUUGUUUUCCACUUUUGUUGCUAUAACCUCCUCUUUUGUUGAAUUCUCUCUGUUUUUCCCUCCUUUCUUUAUCUUCUUUCUUUUUACUCAUUUGUUUCCAUAAUUUCACGUUAACACCCUCUUGAUUUCAUCUUUUGUCGUUCCUAUCUACUGUGUUGCCGCCGUCCAGACUUUGAUCCUUCCUAGUGCCGUAGCUAACCCUCUGGUCUCAUUACUGGUGAGGAUCGUGAGGCGCAUACCCCUCUUGCUAAUUAAGUGCCUUGGAAACGUCUUCUCCCUAGGGUAAGUAGUUGAAUGCCUAGUCAAGGGGCUGGCAGGUGUUAAUUUUUGCUUUGGCCGAAUGCUCUAAGGGAGCAAGGGCCGAAUGCCUUAGGCUGAUUUUGUAUUAUGGAUGCUAAUCGGUUAAGGUUAUUGUCAUGGGCAGAGCGCGGAUUGUUGUUGUAGUGCCAACACCUCGAAAACAAUUAGGUGUAUGUUUUAACCCUACUUGAUUUGUGAGAGACGAAGUUAAUCAAAUGUUGCGGUGUUUUAAUUAAACUCGUUCGGUUGUGACUGAAUUUUCUUUUUCUGGUGGUGGCUGAAAGUAAGUAUUCCCUUAAUUGUUAAA
Molecule: long non-coding RNA, 688 nt
Organism: Gossypium arboreum
Lineage: Eukaryota; Viridiplantae; Streptophyta; Magnoliopsida; Malvales; Malvaceae
Exons: 2
Source: RefSeq, a predicted model, not a curated record